Dermacentor andersoni is the source of this 369-nucleotide long non-coding RNA. RefSeq lists it as uncharacterized. The record is from RefSeq and is a predicted model, not a curated record. Lineage: Eukaryota; Metazoa; Arthropoda; Arachnida; Ixodida; Ixodidae.
CCAGCCAUGUGUCAGUUUUGUGGUGCAAAGCCACGAAUACACCUUAAAUUGGUUCUUUUAAGAAAAAGACUUGGCUCAGAAAAUUAUCCUUCUUUAUGCAGCCUGUGGAGACAAGGUUUCUUAGACAUGGCCAUGGCCCUCAAGGAAGAUGCCAAGGCCACAGGCAGUUCCUCCAGUGACCGUGAAAAGGUCCCCUGGGGCACAAGUCUAAUUUGGCACCCCUACCUUUCUCCUGCAGCUUUUCUGUCUACUUAGCUAACCAGCAGCAAGUUUAUCCUUGCAAGCAUUUUGGGUCAAGAACAACUUUCACCAGGAAGAAGUGCAAGACGAGUGAUUGAAGAAAAUAAAGUUGCUUCUGUGAUCUAAGAA